GUUAUUUUGGCAGAAUAGUGCAAUAGAUUUAGGAUCUUUAUAUGUAGUUAAUACAAAUAACAC
This 63-nucleotide transfer RNA is filed under the name Dermestes frischii. Its description in RNAcentral is "tRNA-Leu". It matches the Rfam family "tRNA". From Rfam's summary of the family: Transfer RNA (tRNA) molecules are approximately 80 nucleotides in length. Their secondary structure includes four short double-helical elements and three loops (D, anti-codon, and T loops). The record is from RNAcentral. RNAcentral also lists the same sequence under 1 other name. Lineage: Eukaryota; Metazoa; Arthropoda; Insecta; Coleoptera; Dermestidae.